GGGUAAGUCUUGCACGACCAGCUCCUGUCGAACUCCCCCAGGUUAGGAAUGAAGCAAGGGUAGAUGGUUGUAGCGGUGCGAUGCAAGUAGCUUACCCCUU
RNAcentral lists this signal recognition particle RNA (100 nucleotides) under Bacteroidales bacterium. RNAcentral's name for it is "signal recognition particle sRNA small type". It matches the Rfam family "Bacteroidales small SRP". From Rfam's summary of the family: The non-coding component of the signal recognition particle in Bacteroides Lineage: Bacteria; Pseudomonadati; Bacteroidota; Bacteroidia; Bacteroidales. The record is from RNAcentral.